UCUACGGCCAUGCCGCUCCUGCUGCCCCUGCCAUUAUAAACUCCUUUACCUCAGAAACCCUGAGCCAAUGCAAACUUCCUUUUGGAAGUUGCCUUUGGGCACAGUGUUUUAUCACAGAACUGAAAAGUCAUGAAAACCUUCAGGUGCUCUGCAAGCUGCUCUUACACACCUAUUGUGAACCCUCUGAACUGCAAUAAUGACUGAUGUGCUCAUGGGUGCCAUACUAGCAUAUGUUAUGGAGGUAGGUGUGCUGCUGGUGGGAACAGCAGGUGUGGUCAGGCUGGCCUGUGGCCCAGAAACCACCCACCUGAUUGUAGGUCCUUGGUGUGUUUCCAAAUGGAAUUCAUCCUCACUGCUGGGCUGCCUGGUUAAGUACCCAGGGAAGGAAGAAACCAGAGUAAAAGGAAACAAAAGAGAACUGUGAACUGCAGUGUCAAGAAGGCUGGGUGCAGGAUAUGCGGCAUCCCAGCUUCUCCACUGAUGCACCAGGAAGUAAGAGAAGAGAGAUCUACAGACCUCCCAUUUGCCCAGACCAGAGGAGAGCCCAGCCUACAACAGUAGACAAGGUGUUCAUUAACACCAACAAAGAAGCCGGAACCAGAAAGACUCUUCUAGCAUUCGCAGGCUCCAGCAAGGACAUUUUGGGAACUGUUGUUUCGGGGUCUCUGCCCUACCAGAGCAAUUGCUGCCUCCGGUUCUUAACACUAACAGGCUCUUCUAAGGUGGAAAUGUGUUUCUGGAAUCCUGGUCAUGUGAAAUGUAUUGAUGCCGUUCACCCUUUUUUCAUGAUAGAGAAAAAAACUCUUUUGGAGGCAAGGAUAAUUGGUCGAAAAAAAGUUAGUACAGAGCCAGCAAGAUGGCUCAGCUGACAAAAGGCUUUGCUGCACACACCUAAUAAUUACGGGGACCUCCUGAGAAAGGAAACAACAGAACCCUCUAGAAAGUUGUCCUCUGACCUCUACAUGCCCACCAUGGCACAAGUAUGCAUGCACUACAUAGGCACAAACACAAAACUAUUAACUUUUAGUUUAAAAAAAAAAAAAAAGAAAAAAAAGCACAGCUCCUCUACAAUGAAAACAUUUUAAUGAAGUGCUCUCAUAGUGGAGGGCACAAUGGGCUUGAGAGUCUCAGGGAAGAGCAGGCCGGUUCUGGCAGCAGAGUGGCCGGGGACUUGGAGGCACAAAAAAAGGUGGCUAAGAACUCAUGUAUAGCCAAGAUGGACAAAUUGAUGUUGUUUCUCUGUAGUUGCUGUCCUUGAGAGUGAGGUUUUCUAGCUUUAGGGGAUGCCCUGGGGCAGUCAGAAGUAAGGUCCCUUGCAACUCAGUGGUCACCUGGAGAACAGGGGCAGAGUGAGGCAGAGAAGGGGUGACAGGAGAGAAUGUGAGGAGCAGGCAGUGGUCCUCAGGAGAGCUGGUGGUGUCACUGACACCAGAAUGACCUGUCAAGAAGACAUGAAUUGUGCAUGAACCAGAAUGUGACCUUAUUUUAUUGGAGGUGACAGUCUUUCAGGAGGCGUAUCACAUGACAAGCCUUGUUGACUGCAUCCACGAGGUCUCCAACACCCGAUGAAGUGGGUGUUGUGAGCAGACCUUUGUGUUGGAGUUGCAGGUUCAUAUUGCUGGAUGUGUUUGUUUUCACAUAGUAGCCCGGACCUACACAGCUUCCUAAUUUUACAUUUUCUUUUUACUGUGGUUCCUUUUUCUUCUAAUUUUGUCUAUUUGUCAUCUUUUAAAGAUCCAGCUGGGAGUUGUAUUGUUUCCUGUCUCUGCUAUUAUGUAUUGACACCUCAGUGGACUAAGGGGACACAAAUGGACUGCUAGCUCGCAGGAUCCGAAGAGGGUUGUUAAAUGGAGUCAUGAUUAACUGACUGGCUAGUAAGUCAUUCUGGAGGCUCUAGAACUUCCUCACUUUUUCCAGCGCUCUGCUAUUCUUGACUUGAAGCCCUUCCUUCAAGCACAAAGCCAGCUAUGCUUCUUCACACCCCUUCAGAUCCUUGUGAUUACAACAGGUCUGCUUAGGAAGUCCAGGACUGUCUCAAGAUCCUCAGCCAUAUCUGCAAAGUCAUAUGGGCCAUGUGAAGGUGAUGCCAUACAUCCAGUUUAGGAAGAAGGCCAUGUUUUGGAAGGAGCACGUUCUAAAGCACACAGAAGAAUGUGUUUUGGGUUUUUGCCUUCCAAAGACUUCACUGCUGGUUCAGUCAUUUCUAUUGUUUUCCAUGUGUUAAUUUCUGCUUUAAUGUUAAUCUUUUUCCUGGGGCUAAUUUGGAGUUCUUCCUUUUUUCAGUGGAAGGCUUAAUUCAGCUAAUUGUGUUAGCUACUGUGCAACACUCACUGAACCCACUGAUCUUCACAUGGCAUUUUCACAUCUUCUACAUAAUGGCUUCUUUGACCAAUGAAUCACUUAAAUAGCUUUCCAUUUGUCUUAGUAUUCUUCCUAUCCUGGGUUUUAUUUUCUCUACUAUGUAGUUAGAAAGCAUGAAUCACUUGGUUUCUGAAUCACAUAUCUGCGGACACCUGCUUGAGGCUGUACACAGUGUGAGAUGAUGCUGUCUGCAAUCCAAACACAUUUGCUGUGGACUGUUAUUCUAUCUUGGGAUAAGGUAUCAGGUCAUGAAGAGCUUUUCUUCCCUUUUUAAUAGCAGCAUAAUGUUUUACUGCAUGGAUAAACUGUACAGAUUUAAAU
Long non-coding RNA from Meriones unguiculatus (Mongolian gerbil), 2682 nucleotides. RefSeq lists it as uncharacterized. The transcript has 4 exons. The record is from RefSeq and is a predicted model, not a curated record. NCBI's taxonomy places the organism in Eukaryota, Metazoa, Chordata, Mammalia, Rodentia, Muridae.